RNAcentral lists this ribosomal RNA (253 nucleotides) under uncultured bacterium. RNAcentral's name for it is "partial 16S ribosomal RNA". It matches the Rfam family "Bacterial small subunit ribosomal RNA", at positions 524 to 776 of the family's 1533-position model. The record is from RNAcentral.
GACAGAGGGUGCAAACGUUGUUCGGAAUUACUGGGCGUAAAGCGCGUGUAGGCGGCUCGGAAAGUCGGAUGUGAAAGCCCUGGGCUUAACCUAGGAAGUGCAUUCGAAACUCCCGAGCUUGAGUUCUGGAGGGGAAGGCGGAAUUCUCGGUGUAGAGGUGAAAUUCGUAGAUAUCGAGAGGAACACCGGUGGCGAAGGCGGCCUUCUGGACAGUGACUGACGCUGAGACGCGAAAGCGUGGGGAGCAAACAGG